CAUGGACAUCAGCAGGGUAGGACAAAGGGGCGAAGGGAGGACUUGCCUCCCUCUGCAUUUUUCAACUUGUCCCCUCCCCAUAGGUAAUUUUCCCUUGGACUGUGACCGUUCAGUCUGAGGGAAAGAAGGAGGGAGGUGCUUGGGAUGCACUUAGGCUGCCAAGGGUCACAGAAAGCACUGUGAGGCUCUUUUCUGAAUCCCUAGCAAUUUGGUGCCUCUAUGCUCUGCCCCCACAUUCAG
Non-coding RNA from Pelobates cultripes (western spadefoot toad), 240 nucleotides. The record is from the annotation of a GenBank genome assembly. Lineage: Eukaryota; Metazoa; Chordata; Amphibia; Anura; Pelobatidae.